This is a long non-coding RNA of Brassica oleracea var. oleracea, 374 nucleotides long. RefSeq lists it as uncharacterized. NCBI's taxonomy places the organism in Eukaryota, Viridiplantae, Streptophyta, Magnoliopsida, Brassicales, Brassicaceae. The transcript has 4 exons. The record is from RefSeq and is a predicted model, not a curated record.
AAACAAGUGAUGGUCACAUGUCUGCUAUGCUUUUGGGUGGCCAGGGACCUGAAGAAAAUCGGCGAGCUUAUAUGGUUUUAGUAGACGGAAAAGAUGGUACUCGGAGAAGCUCGUGAAAUGACAGUGGGGUAAAGAAGACCGUGUUUCUGAGUGGAACAAUUACAAGUGGAACAAUUACAUAGACUCUCUCGGAGGAGUUAUAUGGAAAACUUCUCACUCAAAUUUUGGAGGUUUCGGGUGAGCUGAAUCCAUCCAACUAAACAAUCUGAUGCAAAAGAAUCCAGAAAGCAUACAGAAAUCUAUUACAUAAGAAGGCAAUCAAAGUACAAGGAGAAUGCUGUAUUCUUUAUUUGGGAACCUUCUUCAUCUUCCUC